This 421-nucleotide ribosomal RNA is filed under the name uncultured bacterium. RNAcentral describes it as "bacterial SSU rRNA". It matches the Rfam family "Bacterial small subunit ribosomal RNA", at positions 355 to 776 of the family's 1533-position model. The record is from RNAcentral.
UGGGGAAUUUUGCACAAUGGGCGGAAGCCUGAUGCAGCGACGCCGCGUGAGGGAUGAAUGCUUUCGGGUUGUAAACCUCUUUUAUCCACCACGAAGGCUCCGUAUUCGCGGGGUUGACGGUAGUGGUUGAAUAAGCGCCGGCUAACUACGUGCCAGCAGCCGCGGUAAGACGUAGGGCGCGAGCGUUGUCCGGAUUUAUUGGGCGUAAAGGGCUCGUAGGCGGUUGAUUGCGUCCGCCGUGAAAGGCCUCGGCUUAACCGGGGUUUUGCGGUGGAUACGGGUCGACUUGAGGCAAUUAGGGGAGAUCGGAAUUCUACGUGUAGCGGUGAAAUGCGCAGAUAUGUGGAGGAACACCGGUGGCGAAGGCGGAUCUCUGGGAUUGUUCUGACGCUGAGGAGCGAAAGCGUGGGGAGCGAACAGG